Molecule: long non-coding RNA, 379 nt
Organism: Xenopus laevis (African clawed frog)
Lineage: Eukaryota; Metazoa; Chordata; Amphibia; Anura; Pipidae
Exons: 3
Source: RefSeq, a predicted model, not a curated record
CACCCAUUCAUCAAAGAACUGCCCCCUAAGAAGAUCAUCAGAGCUGAGAUUGAAGAACAUCUCCGGGCUCUGCAGAACCGGCCGGCCAAGAAAGGAUUGAAGGGAAAAGCUAUGAAACAGCUGCGUCGCGCUUGUGACUUCUACGCACGCAACACAGCAGAGGAACAAAAAGUGGCUCUGCAAAUGGCCCUGGAGGGCUUUCCCUGUAACUGAUCUUGUGGCCAGUAACAGCAACAGCCCAGAAUGAAUCUCCUGUGUAAAAUCCUAGGUGAAAGAAACAUCCACAGAGAAAGGUGAAGCAGCUCAACCAGUGGUGACUUUGAGAUUAGUGCAGCUCCACCAGCAGUGUCUGCUCCUCCCCCUGAAGCGCCAGGACCAU